RNAcentral lists this long non-coding RNA (1302 nucleotides) under Vulpes vulpes (red fox). RNAcentral describes it as "lncRNA (ENSVVUG00000017202.1)". Lineage: Eukaryota; Metazoa; Chordata; Mammalia; Carnivora; Canidae. The record is from RNAcentral.
AUGAGCCAGACAUCCUUCCUCCUCUGGCCUGGGAGCCUCCUAUGGACACUGCAGGCUUCCACCUGCGGGCAAGGCAUCCUCCUCCUCGGGGAGCUGGAGCCCUCCUCCUCCCGGGGUGCAGCCGCCUUCCUAGUACCACUGAGGCAGGCAUCCUUCCUCCUCCAGGGGCCUCAGGCUUCCUCCUCCGGGCGAGGACUCCCUCCUCCGGGUGCUGCGGCCUUCCUCCUCCACAUGAGGCAUCCUUCCUCCUCGGGGUGCUGCGGGCUUCCUCCUGCGAGGCGUCCUUCCUCCUCCCAAAGACGCGUCCUUCCUCCCCCGGGGGCCGCAGGCUUCCCCCUCAGCAAGGCUCCUUCCUCCUGGGGCGCUGCGGCCUUCCCCCUCGGGGAGCGGGGCCUCCUCCUAGCAGCGCUGCAGGCUUCUUCCUCCGAGCGAGGCGCCCAUCCUCCUCCCAGCAAGGCGUCCUUCAUCUGCCGGGUCUGGGGGCUUCCUCCUCCUCCAGGUGCUGCGGGCUUCCAACUCUGGGGGCUGCCGCCUUGUCCUGUGGGCGCUGUGGCCUUCCUCCCCGGGGCUGCGGCCUUCCUCCCUGGGCUGCGGCCUUCCUCCCUGGGCUGCGGCCUUCCUCCCUGGGGCUGCGGCCUUCGUCCUCCAAGCGAGGCGGCCUCCCUCCCCGGGGCUGCGGCCUUCCUCCCCGGGCUGCGGCCUUCCUCCCUGGGGCUGCGGCCUUCCUCCCUGGGGCUGNUUCGUCCUCCGCGAGGCGGCCUCCCUCCCCGGGGCUGCGGCCUUCCUCCCCGGGCUGCGGCCUUCCUCCCUGGGGCUGCGGCCUUCCUCCCUGGGCUGUGGCCUUCCUCCCUGGGGCUGCGGCCUUCGUCCUCCAAGCGAGGCGGCCUCCCUCCCCGGGGCUGCGGCCUUCCUCCCUGGGCUGCGGCCUUCCUCCCCGGGGCUGCGGCCUUCCUCCCUGGGGCGCUGGGGCUUCCUCCUCCCGUCGAGGCGGCCUUCCUCCUCGGGGCGCUGCAGGCUUCCUCCUCCUCCUCCGGGGCCUGGGGGCUUCCUCCUCCAGGUGAUGCGUCCUUCCUCCCCCCGGCGCGGUCCGCACCCCUGCCGCCGGUUCUCCCAUCAUCACGCAGGCGGCGCCCCCAGAGGCCGCGGGAACCGUCGCACCCACCCCUGCGGCGCACCCGGGACUGGACCCCACGACCGCACGCGGGCCCUUGGGGACAGCAAGGCCCAGCCGGGCUGCGCCCCGACCCAGCCCGCAGCCCCAGCUCCCCCGCAGACCGCAGCCCCCGCAGAGCAGGGACCUGA